GCGGGCGUGGCGGAACUGGCAGACGCGCUAGACUUAGGAUCUAGUGGGUUUUUCCUGUGAGAGUUCGAAUCUCUCCGCCCGCACCA
RNAcentral lists this transfer RNA (86 nucleotides) under Bacillota bacterium. Its description in RNAcentral is "Firmicutes bacterium (anaerobic digester metagenome) tRNA-Leu". It matches the Rfam family "tRNA". From Rfam's summary of the family: Transfer RNA (tRNA) molecules are approximately 80 nucleotides in length. Their secondary structure includes four short double-helical elements and three loops (D, anti-codon, and T loops). The record is from RNAcentral. Lineage: Bacteria; Bacillati; Bacillota.